Molecule: long non-coding RNA, 399 nt
Organism: Equus quagga
Lineage: Eukaryota; Metazoa; Chordata; Mammalia; Perissodactyla; Equidae
Exons: 3
Source: RefSeq, a predicted model, not a curated record
CAAAUUUAGAGAAGGCUUCACAGGAGAGAGAAACUUGAGCUGAAGCCAGAAGGACGAGGGCCAUUCCCAGAGGAGGAAACUGAGUACCAGACCUGGCUUCUUGUCCUGUGAGCAAUGAGGCAUUUCCAAUUUUUGGAGUUCAGUGCUUCCAUCCAUAAAAUGAGGCUGUUGACCGGUUUUCUUCCAUCCCCGACAAUCAGGAAUUCUAAGCAGAGUUUCCAUAGUUGUCUUGACCAUGAUCUAGCUUGACCUUGGCUUUGAACUUGACCUUGAACUGGACUCUCAUUCAGACCCACAUUAUCCCAGUCAUCCUGACCAUGUUAGCUGUGUCAUGAUCACAGGAACAGCAUCUGCAAUUAUGUGAUUGUAUACAACUCUAGCAAAAGAAUAUAAAUAAAG